AACGAACGCUGGCGGCAUGCCUAACACAUGCAAGUCGAACGAGACCUUCGGGUCUAGUGGCGCACGGGUGCGUAACGCGUGGGAAUCUGCCCCUCGGUUCGGAAUAACACAGAGAAAUUUGUGCUAAUACCGGAUAAUGACUUCGGUCCAAAGAUUUAUCGCCGAGGGGUGAGCCCGCGUAAGAUUAGCUUGUUGGUGGGGUAAUGGCCUACCAAGGCGACGAUCUUUCGCUGGUCUGAGAGGAUGAUCAGCCACACUGGGACUGAGACACGGCCCAGACUCCUACGGGAGGCAGCAGUGGGGAAUAUUGGACAAUGGGCGAAAGCCUGAUCCAGCAAUGCCGCGUGAGUGAUGAAGGCCUUAGGGUUGUAAAGCUCUUUUACCAGGGAUGAUAAUGACAGUACCUGGAGAAUAAGCUCCGGCUAACUCCGUGCCAGCAGCCGCGGUAAU
This 450-nucleotide ribosomal RNA is filed under the name uncultured bacterium. RNAcentral describes it as "bacterial SSU rRNA". It matches the Rfam family "Bacterial small subunit ribosomal RNA", at positions 29 to 524 of the family's 1533-position model. The record is from RNAcentral.